This 69-nucleotide transfer RNA is filed under the name Abbottina rivularis (Chinese false gudgeon). RNAcentral's name for it is "tRNA-Ser". The record is from RNAcentral. Lineage: Eukaryota; Metazoa; Chordata; Actinopteri; Cypriniformes; Gobionidae.
AAGGAAGGACAGAAAUCAGUAAGUACUGUUAAUUCUUAUGCACCGCGGUUAAAAUCCACGGCUUCCUCG